UGCAAGUCGAGCGGCAUCAUACAGGUUGGCAAGCGGCGCACGGGUGAGUAAUACAUGUAAAUAUACCUAAAAGUGGGGAAUAACGUACGGAAACGUACGCUAAUACCGCAUAAUUAUUACGAGAUAAAGCAGGGGCUUGAUAAAAAAAAUCAACCUUGCGCUUUUAGAAAAUUACAUGCCGGAUUAGCUAGUUGGUAGAGUAAAAGCCUACCAAGGUAACGAUCCGUAGCUGGUCUGAGAGGAUGAUCAGCCACACUGGGACUGAGAAAAGGCCCAGACUCCUACGGGAGGCAGCAGUGGGGAAUAUUGGACAAUGGGGGGAACCCUGAUCCAGUCAUGCCGCGUGUGUGAAGAAGGCCUUUGGGUUGUAAAGCACUUUCAGCGAAGAAGAAAAGUUAGAAAAUAAAAAGUUAUAACUAUGACGGUACUCGCAGAAGAAGCACCGGCUAACUCCGUGCCAGCAGCCGCGGUAAGACGGAGGGUGCAAGCGUUAAUCAGAAUUACUGGGCGUAAAGGGCAUGUAGGUGGUUUGUUAAGCUUUAUGUGAAAGCCCUAUGCUUAACAUAGGAACGGAAUAAAGAACUGACAAACUAGAGUGCAGAAGAGGAAGGUAGAAUUCCCGGUGUAGCGGUGAAAUGCGUAGAUAUCUGGAGGAAUACCAGUUGCGAAGGCGACCUUCUGGGCUGACACUGACACUGAGAUGCGAAAGCGUGGGGAGCAAACAGGAUUAGAUACCCUGUAGUCCACGCUGUAAACGAUAUCAACUAGCCGUUGGAUUCUUAAAGAAUUUUGUGGCGUAGCUAACGCGAUAAGUUGAUCGCCUGGGGAGUACGGUCGCAAGGCUAAAACUCAAAUGAAUUGACGGGGGCCCGCACAAGCGGUGGAGCAUGUGGUUUAAUUCGAUGCAACGCGCAAAACCUUACCUACUCUUGACAUCCAAAGUACUUUCCAGAGAUGGAAGGGUGCCUUAGGGAACUUUGAGACAGGUGCUGCAUGGCUGUCGUCAGCUCGUGUUGUGAAAUGUUGGGUUAAGUCCCGUAACGAGCGCAACCCUUGUCCUUAGUUGCCAACGCAUAAGGCGGGAACUUUAAUC
This 1093-nucleotide ribosomal RNA is filed under the name Candidatus Portiera aleyrodidarum (primary endosymbiont of Bemisia tabaci). RNAcentral describes it as "bacterial SSU rRNA". It matches the Rfam family "Bacterial small subunit ribosomal RNA", at positions 56 to 1145 of the family's 1533-position model. Lineage: Bacteria; Pseudomonadati; Pseudomonadota; Gammaproteobacteria; Johnevansiales (SeqCode); Johnevansiaceae (SeqCode). The record is from RNAcentral.